ACACGACUACAUUAGAUACCCGGGUAGUCCCAGCCCUAAACGAUGCGCGUUAGGUGUAUCGGUGACCACGAGUCACCGAGGUGCCGAAGGGAAACCGUGAAACGUGCCGCCUGGGAAGUACGGUCGCAAGGCUGAAACUUAAAGGAAUUGGCGGGGGAGCACCACAACGGGUGGAGCUUGCGGUUUAAUUGGAUUCAACGCCGGAAAUCUUACCGGGACCGACAGCAACAUGAAGGCCAGGCUGAAGACUUUGCCGGAUUAGCUG
This 265-nucleotide ribosomal RNA is filed under the name uncultured archaeon. RNAcentral's name for it is "partial 16S ribosomal RNA". It matches the Rfam family "Archaeal small subunit ribosomal RNA", at positions 717 to 982 of the family's 1478-position model. The record is from RNAcentral.